Molecule: long non-coding RNA, 278 nt
Filed under: Linum usitatissimum (flax)
Lineage: Eukaryota; Viridiplantae; Streptophyta; Magnoliopsida; Malpighiales; Linaceae
Description: long non-coding RNA (LUSI_LNC000777)
Source: RNAcentral
AUUCGUCCCCAUCGACGACGACACCGACGACAUCGACACCGACGACCACGACGAGCUCCUCGCCCCUGUGUUCUUCAUCAUCAAGCUCCUCUUCACCUUCCUCCACGGCGAAUUACUCUCCUGUUUCCAACUCUCUAACCCGCCGCUCUUUCCCGGCGGCGGGGUCGCAUCCCCUCCACCAUCGUCAACGUCUCCGUACACGUCCACUUCUUCCUCCGCCUCGAAUCUGAACAUGAAUAGCGCGUGCUUUGCGGCGGCGUUACUGUUUCCGUUACUGC